Molecule: ribosomal RNA, 580 nt
Filed under: Arthrobacter ramosus
Lineage: Bacteria; Bacillati; Actinomycetota; Actinomycetes; Micrococcales; Micrococcaceae
Description: bacterial SSU rRNA
Rfam family: Bacterial small subunit ribosomal RNA
Source: RNAcentral
GGCCAUUAACUGACGUUGAGGAGCGAAAGCAUGGGGAGCGAACAGGAUUAGAUACCUGGUAGUCCAUGCCGUAAACGUUGGGCACUAGGUGUGGGGGACAUUCCACGUUUUCCGCGCCGUAGCUAACGCAUUAAGUGCCCCGCCUGGGGAGUACGGCCGCAAGGCUAAAACUCAAAGGAAUUGACGGGGGCCCGCACAAGCGGCGGAGCAUGCGGAUUAAUUCGAUGCAACGCGAAGAACCUUACCAAGGCUUGACAUGGACUGGAAACGCCCGGAAACGGGUGCCCCGCUUGCGGCCGGUUUACAGGUGGUGCAUGGUUGUCGUCAGCUCGUGUCGUGAGAUGUUGGGUUAAGUCCCGCAACGAGCGCAACCCUCGUUCUAUGUUGCCAGCGGGUAGUGCCGGGGACUCAUGGGAGACUGCCGGGGUCAACUCGGAGGAAGGUGGGGACGACGUCAAAUCAUCAUGCCCCUUAUGUCUUGGGCUUCACGCAUGCUACAAUGGCCGGUACAAUGGGUUGCGAUACUGUGAGGUGGAGCUAAUCCCAAAAAGCCGGUCUCAGUUCGGAUUGGGGUCUGCAA